CCUACGGGUGGCUGCAGUGGGGAAUAUUGCACAAUGGGCGAAAGCCUGAUGCAGCAACGCCGCGUGAGUGAUGAAGGCCUUCGGGUCGUAAAGCUCUGUCCUCAAGGAAGAUAAUGACGGUACUUGAGGAGGAAGCCCCGGCUAACUACGUGCCAGCAGCCGCGGUAAUACGUAGGGGGCUAGCGUUAUCCGGAUUUACGGGGCGUAAAGGGUACGUAGGUGGUUUCGUAAGCCAGCGGUGAAAGGCUACGGCACAACCGGAGUAAGCCGUUGGAACUGGGAGACUUGAGUGCAGGAGGGGAAGGUGGAAUUCGUAGUGUAGCGGUGAAAUGCGUAGAUAUUAGGAGGAACACCGGUGGCGAAGGCGGCUCGCUGGACUGUAACUGACGCUGAGGCACGAAGGCGUGGGGAGCAAACAGGAUUAGAUACCCAUGUAGUC
Molecule: ribosomal RNA, 439 nt
Filed under: uncultured bacterium
Lineage: Bacteria
Description: partial 16S ribosomal RNA
Rfam family: Bacterial small subunit ribosomal RNA
Source: RNAcentral